This is a long non-coding RNA of Pygocentrus nattereri (red-bellied piranha), 1785 nucleotides long. The record is from Ensembl. Lineage: Eukaryota; Metazoa; Chordata; Actinopteri; Characiformes; Serrasalmidae.
AAUUUAGGAUUGUGUUAUUUUUCACCUAUGAUAUCAAGGGUUAAUUUUUUUUUUUUCAUUCAAAACUGCAUAGGUCCCACACAGUGUGAGAGCACAGUCUAUGCAGAAGUUCAGGUAAGAUAUAAAUAAUUUUUGUUCAUGUAGACAUUUAGCCAUUAAUGUCAAUAAAUACUGUAAAUGAUUUGAUUCAGGGUUUUAAGGUUUAGAUUGUGUCAAAACCUCUAUGGAAGGUAGCAUGAAACAUGGCAUAUUUGAUAAUGAUGAUAAUGUUGGUAAUCAUGCUUACAGAGAAACGAUGCAGCACUGGAGAUGCAUUCUACUAUGUACAGUACUGUACAGAAGAAACCGCCACCUACAAGUAUUGGACAAUCCAGGCAAACCCCUGCACAGCGCUUGAUCUCAGCGGAGCCUUGCAUUUCUAGCAUCUAUGAAUCAGUUCCGGAUCAGACACAACCUAUGAAAUCUGGAACCAUUUAUACCACCAUUUCCAGUCUCAGCAAAGUGAAUUAAGCCAAUUUGAAUGGAACCACAUCACUGUGAGAAACCGGUGCCACUCUUGAUUUGCAUAGUUGGCUAAGAAGAUUCCCGGUGAUUUUGCAGUCAUCUCAUGGGAGUCCACAAAAGUACAACUGGCCCUUUUCUAAUUGGAUGUAAAGGAUGGCUUUGGCCCACUGCUGAGGAGAGCCAGAACUUUUUUCAUACAGCUUUUUCAUUUACACUGAGACACAGUAAUAAAACUGAACAAUUCCACUUCACAGAUCAGUGUUUAAUACAGAAACCAUUUAAUUGUAAGUAAAAAUACUUAAUAUAACUCGGACUGGUAACAUCUGUGCUCCCUGAAGCUGACCAUGUCUCUCUCCAGCUUCAAUGCCAAGGCCUCAGGCAAGUUGCACUGGUAGGCCAGCUGUGUGUGGACCCGAAGGUCAGUUGAAGAACUGCCAUGAUGAACUGGUCUUGGACUGACUCACUCUGUACAGAAGAUGGUGAUCAUAAGUCCAUCUACCUAAAGUUUCAGGAUCUUUAGCUAGGGUUCUUAAUGGUUCCCCUGUCUGGUUACAUAAUUUAGACCAAAGGAGCUCAGAAAGACUGCCAAAAAGGGGCAGUUUAGCAUGUCAAAUUGGCCUGACUGCAUGUCUUUGGACUGCGGGAUUUAAAUCAGCAAAUUAAUAUGAAUGAUCUUUUCAGUGUCUCUAGUCUGCACAUCUACAUUUUCUACAGUCCAAAGAUGGCAGCACAUUCACUGACAUAACUGCUUUCAAUUGGUUUUUGCCAGGUAAACAACUGAUUGAGUUGUUUAGAAAUGUAUCUAAUUUAUCAUUGAUCUGUUUCGAAUUGUGUUGUGAAGGUUUCAUUUUCAGGAGAAUGUUCAUGGUUUUGUAACCAGAGGUUCAUUUUGCUCUCAGUUUUGGAGAAUUUGCUAAAUGUUACACACAAUUAGUAAAUUCUGUGUUGAAUAUGUGUGAACAUUUGAGAGCAGAGACACUUUGUGCUGAAAUGUGUGUAAGCGGUUAAGAAAAACUAAGUAAUCAAAUGUGUUGGUGCCAGGUCUGUUCUUUUCAUCUGAUGUGUAGACAUCAGAUUGAAAAAUGCUUAUUUGGUGUUGCAAGGUUGUGUUUUUGAUGCUUAAUGUCUUUUUAUAUUUUCUAGCAUUAUAUCAUAAGAGGAUUUGCCCUACAACGAUUUUGUGGUAUCAUGUAAGGUCUUGCUGGACUUACCUAGUGAUUUGUCUCAGAUUAAAGGUGGGGUGACUUGUUAUACUCCUGCUGUAGGUGUGUGCCACUUAUU